RNAcentral lists this ribosomal RNA (484 nucleotides) under uncultured bacterium. RNAcentral's name for it is "partial 16S ribosomal RNA". It matches the Rfam family "Bacterial small subunit ribosomal RNA", at positions 28 to 507 of the family's 1533-position model. The record is from RNAcentral.
AUUGAACGCUGGCGGCAUGCUUUACACAUGCAAGUCGAACGGCAGCGCGGGCUUCGGCCUGGCGGCGAGUGGCGAACGGGUGAGUAAUGCAUCGGAACGUGCCCAGUAGUGGGGGAUAGCCCGGCGAAAGCCGGAUUAAUACCGCAUACGACCUGAGGGUGAAAGCGGGGACCCAAAGGACUCGGGGUAAUGGUGUGGCCGGAGGGGGGUUUGGUUGGUGGUGGGGGUAAGUGCUUGCCAAGCCGACGAUCCGUGGCUGGUCUGUGAGGACGACCAGCCACACUGGAACUGAGACACGGCCCAGACUCCUACGGGAGGCAGCAGUGGGGAAUGUUGGACAAUGGGGGCAACCCUGAUCCAGCCAUGCCGCGUGCGGGAAGAAGGCCUUCGGGUUGGAAACCGCUUUUGUUCGGGAAGAAAUCCUCUGGGCUAAUACCCCGGGGGGAUGACGGUACCGGAAGAAUAAGCACCGGCUAACUACGUG